This 1809-nucleotide long non-coding RNA is filed under the name Sus scrofa (pig). RNAcentral's name for it is "lncRNA (ENSSSCG00005025102.1)". Lineage: Eukaryota; Metazoa; Chordata; Mammalia; Artiodactyla; Suidae. The record is from RNAcentral.
CCUGCAGAAUGCAGAAGUUCCCAGGCCAGGGACUGAACCUGAGCCACAGCAAGUGACAAUGCCAGAUUCUUAGCCCCUAAGCUACUGGGGAACUCCCUAUAUAAGGAAUUUAAAGCUUGUAACUGAGAAGUUUAUUAAUUGAUAAUUAGGAAACUAACUGUUUUGAUAAACCAGAGGUCUUUGGAUAGCCAUUCUCAGCAUGAAGCCUUUGUUCAUCCUUUUCCUAUCUGGAAAAUACAUCCCACCAUGACAUUUUGAGAUUAUAAAUAAUCAGACAAAGAGUGUCAUGGAGGAUCAAGCUCUAAAAGCAGAGAUGAAGAGUUAGAAGAGCGGCUUGCAUAGGGGACGGUCUUAAGGCAGCAGGGUAGCUACAUCCUAGAACAAAGUAAAUGCUAAAAGAAAGCAAACUUCUAAAGUGCCAGAACCCCCAAUAAGGACAAGCCCAGUGCAUUAUAAAGGUCGACACCAGGGCACUACCAUCUACAUCCCUUUCUCAAUGUUUUCAAUUCAGAGGACUGAAGUUUUAUUCUAGGAUAAAAUGUGAUUAUAUGUUGCCGCUUGCCAAAUCAGGCUACAGUCAGCAGACCCCUGAUACAGAAGAAAAGCAAUUCUCAACUAUUCAUUCUCCUCUAAAAUUCUCCCCUCUUUCUUUCAACUUUGAAUAAUUUCAGAUGAGGAAUUAGAGGUUUAAAGGACUCUAUGGAUAAGGGAUCUCAUCUAACUUUCCAAAUGAGAAACUAAAGACUCAGGGCACCCAAGUGACUGGUUUAAGGUGCAGAGGCCGAACGCUGCCUUUUCUCUCCUUCCAUUUUGGGGACACUUUCGCUCAAAUGUGAGGACUCCCUUUAAAGUACACUGGACCUUCACUUAUUCACAGCUUAAAAUAUUUGUUACACUGGAUACUUUUUUCACAUUCUUUUAUUAUGUUCAAGAAAAUCACACCAGAAAAAACUUAAAAUGCUUUUUAGUUUGGCUUGUGCUAGCAUGCUUAGAAUUCUGUCGCCUAAACUCAGUAAACUAUACUGUCCAGUCAGGCUGGACAGAAUGGUCUGGUUCUGAGGGGAAGCCUGAAUAGAGGUGCUAGGUAGAAGGGACCAGUUUCAGGCAUUAACAGUCAAAGUAAGGAGGCACUGCUCCUCUCUCAGUAAAUUCCUCUAGACAUAUGGGGUCACCAAGCAAACAGCUUAUGGGAAGGGUCUAACGCUAUCCAUCUUUUUUCCUAUUACAGAAAUAUGGAAUGAGGAAGAGCACUUUAAUGUCACUUCUUAGAGUAAAUUUGAGAAUAAAAUUUUUUUCAUUUUCCUUCAAAUGGUAAAAACCAAAGUUUAUUCUUUGUACCUGAGUUUCUCAUGGUUUCUGCAUAGCAUUCCUGAUUAAAAGCACUACCUUUAUUACCAAUGAAGAAAUUUUCUAAAUCUAAGCAGGUAUAGUCAGAGAGUCCAAAUGAACUUUCCCUAAAUUUAGUGCUUGAAUUUUAGAACAACUUUAGAGCACAAGUUUACCACCCUCUACCAAAAAAAUCAUUCAGGUGUCAAUUCUGAAUAUAAGGUUUGAAAUUUCUUGGAUCUUUUAAAGUAUAUUCAUACAACAUAUGGAUUUAGAAAAUAUAAUCUCUGAUAAACUGUGUCAUCCAGGUUAUUUACAAAAUGCUAUCACAUACCAGCUCUGAAAAACUAUAAUUCCAUCAGAUACAGAUUUGUGAAAUUUUCAUUCUAAGUAUGAGGUGACAUGUUUUCUCCACAUCACACCCUCACUUUUCAGGUAAGAGAAACGUGACUCCUUUAAGACUGAAAAACAAGCCACAUCCUC